AACACAUGCAAGUCGAACGGGCGUAGCAAUACGUCAGUGGCAGACGGGUGAGUAGCACGUGGGAACGUACCUCUUGGUUCGGAACAACACAGGGAAACUUGUGCUAAUACCGGAUAAGCCCUUACGGGGAAAGAUUUAUCGCCGAGAGAUCGGCCGGCGUCUGAUUAGCUAGUUGGUAGGGUAAUGGCCUACCAAGGCGACGAUCAGUAGCUGGUCUGAGAGGAUGAUCAGCCACACUGGGACUGAGACACGGCCCAGACUCCUACGGGAGGCAGCAGUGGGGAAUAUUGGACAAUGGGCGAAAGCCUGAUCCAGCAAUGCCGCGUGAGUGAUGAAGGCCUUGGGGUUGUAAAGCUCUUUUGUGCGGGAAGAUAAUGACGGUACCGCAAGAAUAAGCCCCGGCUAACUUCGUGCCAGCCGCCGCGGUAAUUC
RNAcentral lists this ribosomal RNA (432 nucleotides) under uncultured soil bacterium. Its description in RNAcentral is "bacterial SSU rRNA". It matches the Rfam family "Bacterial small subunit ribosomal RNA", at positions 50 to 526 of the family's 1533-position model. The record is from RNAcentral.